Molecule: non-coding RNA, 975 nt
Filed under: Geomys breviceps
Lineage: Eukaryota; Metazoa; Chordata; Mammalia; Rodentia; Geomyidae
Description: 12S ribosomal RNA
Rfam family: Bacterial small subunit ribosomal RNA
Source: RNAcentral
GAAAGGUUUGGUCCUGGCCUUUGCGUUAGCUGUUAGUAUACUUACACAUGCAAAUAUCCGUACUCCGGUGAGUUUCGCCCUGAAUUUCCGUAAGCUAGGAAAAAAAGGAGCAGGUAUAAAGCACACUAAAACUAAGUCAGUAGCUAAAAACAUCAAGUCUAACCACACCCCCACGGGAAACAGCAGUGAUAAAAAUUAAGCAAUAAACGAAAGUUUGACUAAGUAAUACUAAUUUAGGGUUGGUAAAUCUCGUGCCAGCCACCGCGGUCAUACGAUUAACCCUAGUUAACACAAAACGGCGUAAAGAGUGCUAAUACUAUCAAUAAAGUAAAACUAAAGUCUAAUUAAGCUGUAGAAAGCACCAAUUAGAGCGAAAAUAAACCACGAAGGUAAUUUUAUAAAUACUGCAGCACUAAAGCUAUAGAACAAACUGGGAUUAGAUACCCCACUAUGUGUAGCCGUAAACUUAAAUAGAUACAAUAACAAAUCUAUUCGCCUGAGGACUACAAGCAACUGCUAGAAACUCAAAGGACUUGGCGGUGCUUUAUACCCACCUAGAGGAGCCUGUUCUAUAAUCGAUAAACCCCGAUCUACCUUACCACUUCUUGCUAAUUCAGCCUAUAUACCGCCAUCCUCAGCUAACCCUAAAAAGGAACAUUAGUAGGCACAACCAUUAUAAUCUAAUAAAAAAGUUAGGUCAAGGUGUAGCCAAUGAAGUGGAGUGAAAUGGGCUACAUUUUCUGGUGACAGAAUAUUACGGAGUCCUCUCUGAAACACAGAGGAUGAAGGAGGAUUUAGAAGUAAGUUAAAAAUAGAGUGUUUAACUGAACAGAGCAAUGAAGCACGCACACACCGCCCGUCACCCUCCUCAAUAUCCCAUCACAACCUAAAUUAUACCUAAUAACAAGUUAGUAUGAGACUAGAGGAGACAAGUCGUAACAAGGUAAGCGUACUGGAAAGUGCGCUUGGAAUAAU